Molecule: small nuclear RNA, 102 nt
Organism: Mustela putorius furo (domestic ferret)
Lineage: Eukaryota; Metazoa; Chordata; Mammalia; Carnivora; Mustelidae
Source: Ensembl
ACUUCAGCAGCACAUGUAUGUACUAAGAUUGAAAGGACACUGAGAUCAGCAUGGCCCCCAUACAGCGAUGACAUGCAAAUCGGUGAAGUGUUCCAUAUUUUA